CGGGGCGUAGAUCUGUCUGGCAGAUCGCCUGCUUUGGGAGCAGGAGGCCGCCGGUUCGAAUCCGGCCGCCCCGACCA
Molecule: transfer RNA, 77 nt
Filed under: Chloroflexota bacterium
Lineage: Bacteria; Bacillati; Chloroflexota
Description: tRNA-Pro
Rfam family: tRNA
About the family: Transfer RNA (tRNA) molecules are approximately 80 nucleotides in length. Their secondary structure includes four short double-helical elements and three loops (D, anti-codon, and T loops).
Source: RNAcentral